RNAcentral lists this microRNA (17 nucleotides) under Homo sapiens (human). Its description in RNAcentral is "hsa-miR-4251". The record is from miRBase by way of RNAcentral. Lineage: Eukaryota; Metazoa; Chordata; Mammalia; Primates; Hominidae.
CCUGAGAAAAGGGCCAA